AAAGCAUGCUGCCUUGCCCCUCCGCUCCCUAUGGAGCAGACUCACCUUCAAAGUGGGGGUGGGGGGCGGAGGGAAAAAGAAAGAAAGCAAAAGAAAAGAAAUCCGAACUGAAGGUUAACUUUCCCAGCCAGGUGACUUCCCCGUUAAAGGUGCAGUGGUCGCGGAUCAUGUCUUCAGGCGAGUUCGGCCUGGCGGAGAACACGAAACCCGAAGACGCCAGUCGCAGAACGUAAAAUCCACGGGGCAGUGGUAACUCCAGGCGCACUCCUCGGAAACAGAGUUGCAGUCUCAGGUCCACGCCGUCUGGGGACCGCUCGGCGCUCGGAUACUCCAACUAGAUGCUCAGGGGAGCCCCCGCCCGCGCGCCCCACGGAGCCAGAGGCUGAGACCGGGGCAGAGUCCUAGUUGGCUAGGAAGCUGAGACCCGGAUCUCGGAGUGUCCUCGUUUCUAGGAGGUCAGAUGACAGGACAACUUAUCCUGACCGGUGGGAAUCGGAGCAGGAAAGCAUCUAUAGGAGCCAAGGGUCUCUCAAAGAGAGCACCUUUCCCAGCAUUCCCACCGAUCAGCACGAGGGACUCGGCCAGAAAUGUGUCCCUCCACAUCCUGAUUCCGUUCUGGCUGUAAAGAUAAAAGUUUUCUCUCAGCCAGUAGUCAGUCUCUUUGUCUUUUUUUCCUUUCUCUUUCUUCCUAUCUUUCUUUCUUACUCCUUCCUCCCCCUCCUCCUCCUCCUCCUCUUCCUCCUCCUCCUCUUCUUUUUUUCCCCUUCUUUUUAUCCAGCCAAGGCUUUCCUGGCUCACUUUCAUUGUUUAUUGUUACUUUUGCUUUAUUUUCUUUGCCAAGUGAACCUGGUAGGGAUCCGAAGUCUCUCCAUUAAGCAGUUACACCCGGCUAAAACGCGUUUUUUGAAAGGAGAGUAAUACUUCAGGUGAGACUCAACUAAAAGAAGAAUUCUGCCGUUCGUAGAUGAAGUGAGGGAAGCAAAAUUCUCACCAGCGUCUCGCCAGCGUCGUAACAUCGGAACAAGAGAACCCUGCAGGGACUUCGCUGCGGCUCCAAUCUUCUCCUAAACAAACAGUAUUUGUGAGACUUUCCUUAGCUGUGUGUCCACCUGCUCUGCUGAGCCUCUAGCCCAGCGCUUCGCAACCUUCCUAAUGCUGGCACCCUUUAAUACAGCUCCUCAUGUUGUGGUGACCCCUCAGCCAUAAAAUUGUUUUCGUUGCUACUUCGAAACUGGAAUUUUGUUAGGAAUCCUAAUGUCAAUGUCUGAUAUGCAGGGCAUCUGCUAGAAUCCCUCUGAAAGUCCUUUGACAACACCCUCACGCAAAAGGGGUAGAGACCUCUGAUCUCACCCAUGUUACUUCAUCCGGGCCUGGCAGAUUCCAUGUAAGGCUGUGUGGUCUGAAAACCUAGUCUCAGAAAUAUUGUUUUCAGAAUGUAGCAAGUCCAUAAGGGCGUGGAUUGAACACUAGGUUCUGUGUGCUAGUGAACGUAGAGAAGGAACCUGCUUUCAGCUUUAGAAAAGAAGCCAUGUGUCUAUACAAGCUUCAUAACCACUACUACCAUUAUAUGACCACAUCAUGCCUUGCAUGUUAAAAUCCAUGAGGGCAAGGACACUGUCUUCCCCCUCCUAUCAUGCUCCAAUGGGCUCUUUAAUCCCUCAGACCCCAAGUAGACUGGAGGAGAGCCACCCUCCCCCCAGAACACAGGUUUUACUGACCAGCACCCUGUCAGUGACUCAGCCACCAUAAGAAGCCAUCAGUGAUCAAAAAGACAAUAGAGAAAGAGAGGGCGCUGCAGAGAGGGGACAGAAAGAGAAGCAGCCCCUGGGAGACUCCUGAAAGGGGUGUUUUCCUGCAGAGCCUUACUAGUCUGUUUACCUGGAACCUGUUUCUGAGAAACGUUGUGUUUGGGAAUGCAGGAGACUCUUUCCCUCCUCCAGAGGCAGGCUCGCAUUGCACCUGAAAAAGCAGGCUUACAAAAUUAUAAGUUGAGCCAGGUAUGGUGGCUCAAGCUGGUUGUCUCAGCACUCUGGAGGCUGAAGCAGGAGAUGAACCAUAAGUUCAAGGCCAGCCGGAGACACAUUGUAAGUUCUAGUCUGGCUGCAGAGUGAGAGAUGAGGCAUCCCAGCAUCCCCUCUCCAAGAACAAGGAGGAGGAGAGGGAGGAAGAGGGGAGGAGGAGGAGGAGAAGAGGAAGAGGAGGAAGAGGAAGAGGAGGAAGAGGAAGAGGAGGAGGAGGAGGAGGUGGUGGUGGUGGUCAUCGUCAUUGUAAACUAAAAACUUUUCCAUCCACUCUCUAAUGUUGACUAACUCUGUUCCUGUCAUUAUGGCUAAAUACUAAAUAUGACCAAAGAACAGUAGUGGCCACUGGCAGGGCAGCUCUCUUUGCUCAAACUCGUUUGUCCAUGGACCAUGCCCCUGCCCUUCCUCAGCUAAUGAUGCUGGGCAUAGCAAUCACGGUUGACCGGUUUGCUGCAUCCCUGAGGGACUUUUCCAGAUCACUCACUUGACAACACAAGGCUUAGGAUCUAUCCUUUCCUUACUCAGCUCCCAGGAUUCGAGCUUCCUUCUGUCUUCUGUGUACACCUGUCCCUGAUCCAUUCUUGGACUACAUCCCCAACUCUCUUCAUACUAUUUGAUUUUGUGACUGUCUCACAGGGCUGGCCUUGAACCCACUAAGUAACUCAGGCUG
This is a long non-coding RNA of Rattus norvegicus (Norway rat), 2691 nucleotides long. Ensembl lists it as uncharacterized. Lineage: Eukaryota; Metazoa; Chordata; Mammalia; Rodentia; Muridae. The record is from Ensembl.